Molecule: ribosomal RNA, 117 nt
Filed under: Paramormyrops kingsleyae
Lineage: Eukaryota; Metazoa; Chordata; Actinopteri; Osteoglossiformes; Mormyridae
Source: RNAcentral
GUCAGCAGUCACACCACCUGCAGUUCAGACUAUGUGAUCCACCUGCAGCUAAGCUGGUUUAGGCUUGGCCAGUACUUGGAUGGGAGACUAACUACAAAAGCUGGGUUGCUGCUGGAA